CUACGUGCCAGCAGCCGCGGUAAUACGUAGGGUGCGAGCGUUAAUCGGAAUUACUGGGCGUAAAGCGGGCGCAGACGGUUACUUAAGCAGGAUGUGAAAUCCCCGGGCUCAACCUGGGAACUGCGUUCUGAACUGGGUGACUAGAGUGUGUCAGAGGGAGGUAGAAUUCCACGUGUAGCAGUGAAAUGCGUAGAGAUGUGGAGGAAUACCGAUGGCGAAGGCAGCCUCCUGGGAUAACACUGACGUUCAUGCCCGAAAGCGUGGGUAGCAAACAGGAUUAGAUACCCUGGUAGUCCACGCCCUAAACGAUGUCGAUUAGCUGUUGGGCAGCAUGACUGCUUAGUAGCGAAGCUAACGCGUGAAAUCGACCGCCUGGGGAGUACGGUCGCAAGAUUAAAACUCAAAGGAAUUGACGGGGACCCGCACAAGCGGUGGAUGAUGUGGAUUAAUUCGAUGCAACGCGAAGAACCUUACCUACUCUUGACAUCCAUGGAAUCUUGUAGAGAUAUGA
This 511-nucleotide ribosomal RNA is filed under the name uncultured bacterium. Its description in RNAcentral is "bacterial SSU rRNA". It matches the Rfam family "Bacterial small subunit ribosomal RNA", at positions 501 to 1011 of the family's 1533-position model. The record is from RNAcentral.